This 29-nucleotide small RNA is filed under the name Bombyx mori (domestic silkworm). RNAcentral's name for it is "piRNA piR-bmo-1483178". The record is from RNAcentral. Lineage: Eukaryota; Metazoa; Arthropoda; Insecta; Lepidoptera; Bombycidae.
UGGACUAUGAAAAGGCCUUUGAUUCUGUC